UGUGUAUGUACUGAGCUAUCAACAGCUCUCCCACCAUUGGCUUUGGGAGGCUCACUAAUACGAAGAGGCACUAUAUUCUCUCCCAAAAUUUCUCUAACAGGCCGAACAACAGGUGGGCUGGAUGACUCCAUAUCUUUUACACGCUCAGGUGACCUGCCUUCUAGUUUUGAUUCUCCAUCUCCAUGAUCUUCAAAUUUCCUCCCAUUUCCAAAUCUAUCAUCACGACGCCAAUCAUUUAUUAUCUCAGGACGAGCAGGGCUUCUCCGGUAAUCACCAUAUUGUCGACUAUCUGGUUCGUAUACUGGACUUCUUCCUCCAGAACUAGACCUGUCACUGUAACGACGCUCAUAUGUCUCUUCAUACGGAGGGCUUCUAGAUCCACCCUGAUUCCUG
Molecule: long non-coding RNA, 393 nt
Filed under: Carica papaya (papaya)
Lineage: Eukaryota; Viridiplantae; Streptophyta; Magnoliopsida; Brassicales; Caricaceae
Description: long non-coding RNA (CPAP_LNC010869)
Source: RNAcentral